Molecule: ribosomal RNA, 2103 nt
Filed under: Legionella pneumophila
Lineage: Bacteria; Pseudomonadati; Pseudomonadota; Gammaproteobacteria; Legionellales; Legionellaceae
Description: partial 23S ribosomal RNA
Rfam family: Bacterial large subunit ribosomal RNA
Source: RNAcentral
UAAUCAAGCCCGGAGAUAGCUGGUUCUCCCCGAAAGCUAUUUAGGUAGCGCCUCGUGAAUGAUUACUGGGGGUAGAGCACUGUUUCGGCUAGGGGGCUGUCAUGGCUUACCAAACCGAUGCAAACUCCGAAUACCGGCUAAUUGAAUCACGGGAGACACACGGCGGGUGCUAACGUCCGUCGUGGAGAGGGAAACAACCCAGACCGCCAGCUAAGGUCCCCAAGUACUAGUUAAGUGGGAAACGAUGUGGGAAGGCAUAGACAGCCAGGAGGUUGGCUUAGAAGCAGCCACCCUUUAAAGAAAGCGUAAUAGCUCACUGGUCGAGUCGGCCUGCGCGGAAGAUGUAACGGGGCUAAAACUAGUCACCGAAGCUGCGGAUGUGCGCGAAGGCGCACGUGGUAGGGGAGCGUUCUGUAGGCUGAUGAAGGUGCAUUGAGAAGUGUGCUGGAGGUAUCAGAAGUGCGAAUGCUGACAUGAGUAACGAUAAUGUGGGUGAAAAGCCCACACGCCGGAAGUCCCAGGUUUCCUGCACGACGUUAAUCGGAGCAGGGUGAGUCGGCCCCUAAGGCGAGGCUGAAGAGCGUAGUCGAUGGGAACCAGGUUAAUAUUCCUGGACUUUUUAUAAGUGGUGAAGUGGGGACGAAGAAGGCUAGGUGAGCCAGGCGUUGGUUGUCCUGGUACUUGCAUGUAGGGGGGAAGACUUGGCAAAUCCGGUUUUCCAUAACUCUGAGGUGCGAAGUGGUUCUGACCUUUUGGUACAGAGAAGUCAUUGAUGCCCGGCUUCCAGGAAAAGCUGCUAGCCAUAACUUAUAGAGAACCGUACCGCAAACCGACACAGGUGGACAGGUAGAGAAUACUAAGGCGCUUGAGAGAACUCGGGUGAAGGAACUAGGCAAAAUGGUACCGUAACUUCGGGAGAAGGUACGCCCUUUCUGGUGAUGGGAUUUACUUUCAGAGCUGGAGAGGGCCGCAGAGACCAGGUGGCUGCGACUGUUUAUUAAAAACACAGCACUCUGCAAAUUCGUAAGAAGACGUAUAGGGUGUGACGCCUGCCCGGUGCCGGAAGGUUAAUUGAUGGGGUUAUCUUCGGAGAAGCUCUUGAUCGAAGCCCCGGUAAACGGCGGCCGUAACUAUAACGGUCCUAAGGUAGCGAAAUUCCUUGUCGGGUAAGUUCCGACCUGCACGAAUGGCGUAACGAUGGCCACACUGUCUCCACCCGAGACUCAGUGAAAUUGAAAUCGCUGUGAAGAUGCAGUGUACCCGCGGCUAGACGGAAAGACCCCGUGAACCUUUACUAUAGUUUUGCACUGGACUUUGAUGAUGACUGUGUAGGAUAGGUGGGAGGCUGUGAAGUGAGGACGCUAGUUCUCAUGGAGCCGCCCUUGAAAUACCACCCUGUUGUUAUUGAGGUUCUAACUUGGUCCAGUAAUCCUGGAUGAGGACAGUGUAUGAUGGGUAGUUUGACUGGGGCGGUCUCCUCCCAAAGAGUAACGGAGGAGCACAAAGGUACCCUCGGUACGGUCGGACAUCGUACCAAGAGUGUAAAGGCAAAAGGGUGCUUGACUGCGAGAGUGACGGCUCGAGCAGGAACGAAAGUUGGUCUUAGUGAUCCGGUGGUUCUGAAUGGAAGGGCCAUCGCUCAACGGAUAAAAGGUACUCCGGGGAUAACAGGCUGAUACCGCCCAAGAGUUCAUAUCGACGGCGGUGUUUGGCACCUCGAUGUCGGCUCAUCACAUCCUGGGGCUGAAGCAGGUCCCAAGGGUAUGGCUGUUCGCCAUUUAAAGUGGUACGCGAGCUGGGUUUAGAACGUCGUGAGACAGUUCGGUCCCUAUCUGCCGUGGGCGUAGGAAAAUUGAGAGGAGCUGCUCCUAGUACGAGAGGACCGGAGUGGACGAACCUCUGGUGCACCGGUUGUCACGCCAGUGGCAUGGCCGGGUAGCUAAGUUCGGACGGGAUAACCGCUGAAAGCAUCUAAGCGGGAAGCCUCCCUCAAGAUGAGUUUUCCCAUGAAGCCCGUUGAAGACUACGACGUUGAUAGGCAAGGUGUGGAAGCGCAGUAAUGCGUGAAGCUAACUUGUACUAAUUGGCUGAUUGUCUUGACCA